This is a long non-coding RNA of Aphidius gifuensis, 567 nucleotides long. RefSeq lists it as uncharacterized. Lineage: Eukaryota; Metazoa; Arthropoda; Insecta; Hymenoptera; Braconidae. The transcript has 3 exons. The record is from RefSeq and is a predicted model, not a curated record.
UAUUUCAGUGCAGCCGUCAGACAGAAAGUCUGUUUGUGUCUGUUCAGGCUGUUCAGUGCAGUUCAGUGGUAGCUGGUGGUAGCAACGGUAGCGAGUGGUAGCCCCAUAUAUAAUUUCCUGUAUACUUUAUAUAGUCUUACAAUAGUCUUAUUGAGAGUUGAAGAGUCUUAAAGUCAACACAAUACAUCAGUCAAUAUGUUGCGUCAGCCAUUGCGUUGCCUAUUGCGUCAGCCAUUCAUAAAAUCUGUUAAAAUCGCACAGUUUCCGGUUAAAAAUUUUUCGCAACCGAUCCCAAAAGUACUUCAAAGAUCAUAUGGAAAAUUUCAAAUACACGUUGAGCCCUACACGAAACACCCGAAACACGACCACGCAACCAAGCGACGAAGCGAUCUCUUUCUUAUCUUUCUUAUCAUCUUGAUCUUAUAUUUAUGAGUAAUAAUUCAAGAAGAAGAAGAAGAGAGUAAUUUAGUAACGACUGCAUUCUCUUGGAACUGCAUUCUACUGCUCUUUGAUUAAUUAAAUUUUUUUCUAAUUAUAAAAUAAUAACGUAUUAUUUGAUAAAUCAAU